Molecule: ribosomal RNA, 372 nt
Filed under: Takydromus sikkimensis
Lineage: Eukaryota; Metazoa; Chordata; Lepidosauria; Squamata; Lacertidae
Description: partial small subunit ribosomal RNA
Rfam family: Bacterial small subunit ribosomal RNA
Source: RNAcentral
AAAUAUACUUUAUCCUCCGCCAGAGAAUUACAGAUGAAAAAUCUAAAACUCAAAGGACUUGACGGUGUCCCAUACCGACCUAGAGGAGCCUGUCCUAUAAUCGAUAACCCCCGCUCUACCUAACCUUAACUUGCACAUACCAGCCUAUAUACCGCCGUCAACAGCCUACCCUAUGAAGGAUAAAUAGUAGACACAAUAGCUCCACUAACACGUCAGGUCAAGGUGUAGCAAAUGUUAAGGAAGAGAUGGCUACAUUUUUUAAUUAUAAAAAAUUACGGAAAGUUUUAUGAAACAAAACAUGAAGGUGAAUUUAGUAGUAAAAUAAAUAAGAGCCUUUAUUUUAACAACGCUCUGGGACGCGUACACACCGCC